Non-coding RNA from Leptonychotes weddellii (Weddell seal), 159 nucleotides. The record is from RefSeq and is a predicted model, not a curated record. NCBI's taxonomy places the organism in Eukaryota, Metazoa, Chordata, Mammalia, Carnivora, Phocidae.
GUCCAAGACUGCCCAAAGCAGACCUGGUGUCCAGAAGAAGACAGAGUCUAUGAUUCAAAAAAAUGUUGCUAUACAUGUAAGACUAAUUGUAGAUCUUCACCCGUGAAUGUGAAUAUUAAGUACAAUGGUUGCCAGAAAAGAAUCAAGAUGACAAGAUGU